Molecule: ribosomal RNA, 477 nt
Filed under: uncultured bacterium
Lineage: Bacteria
Description: bacterial SSU rRNA
Rfam family: Bacterial small subunit ribosomal RNA
Source: RNAcentral
UUCGCAAUGCCCGAAAGGGUGACGAAGCGACGCCGCGUGGGUGAGGAAGGUCUUCGGGUUGUAAAGCCCUGUCAGGAGUUAAGAAAUGUAGAUACGCUAAUAUCGUAUCUAUUUGACAAAGGCUCCAAAUGAAGCCACGGCUAACUCUGUGCCAGCAGCCGCGGUAAUACAGAGGUGGCAAGCGUUGUUCGGAAUUAUUGGGCGUAAAGAGCACGUAGGUGGAUUUGUAAGUCAGACGUGAAAGCCUUCUGUUCAACGGAAGAAUUGCAUCUGAAACUGCAAACCUUGAGUAUAGGAGGGGAGAAUGGAACUUCUGGUGGAGCGGUGAAAUGCGUAGAUAUCAGAAGGAACGCCGGCGGCGAAAGCGAUUCUCUGGCCUAUUACUGACACUCAGUGUGCGAAAGCUAGGGGAGCAAACGGGAUUAGAUACCCCGGUAGUCCUAGCCGUAACGAUGGGCACUAAGUAGAGGGGUUUUA